UUGUGUGCAGUGAUGAUGCGUUUUAUUUGGACUAGAGUUUCUGAUUUCUUAGUUGAAGACUAACCCUUGGCUGUCUGAGCACACGA
RNAcentral lists this small nucleolar RNA (86 nucleotides) under Genlisea aurea. RNAcentral describes it as "Small nucleolar RNA Z157/R69/R10". It matches the Rfam family "Small nucleolar RNA Z157/R69/R10". Rfam says of the family: Z157, R69 and R10 are members of the C/D class of snoRNA which contain the C (UGAUGA) and D (CUGA) box motifs. The record is from Rfam by way of RNAcentral. Lineage: Eukaryota; Viridiplantae; Streptophyta; Magnoliopsida; Lamiales; Lentibulariaceae.